CAGAAAAUAGUUUUAAAAAAUAUUAAUUUUGGAGAUUAAAGAUGGAGAGUGAUCUUCUUUUCUGA
Molecule: transfer RNA, 65 nt
Filed under: Scolytinae sp. BMNH 1274287
Lineage: Eukaryota; Metazoa; Arthropoda; Insecta; Coleoptera; Curculionidae
Description: tRNA-Pro
Source: RNAcentral